This 481-nucleotide ribosomal RNA is filed under the name uncultured bacterium. RNAcentral's name for it is "partial 16S ribosomal RNA". It matches the Rfam family "Bacterial small subunit ribosomal RNA", at positions 28 to 507 of the family's 1533-position model. The record is from RNAcentral.
GACGAACGUUGGCGGCGUGCUUAAUACAUGCAAGUCAACUGAAGCAGUGGUAGCAAUAUCGCUGUGGAGGUGGCGCACGGGUGAGUAACACGUAGGUAAUCUGCCUUCAGGUCUGGCAUAACUCCGGGAAACCGGGGCUAAUAGCAGAUGAUGCAGCGGCUCGACAUCGAGACAGUUGUUAAAGCUAUGGCGCCUGAAGAUGAGCCUGCGUCUGAUUAGCUAGUUGGCGGGGUAACGGCCCACCAAGGCAACGAUCAGUAGCUGGUCUGAGAGGAUGAUCAGCCACACUGGAACUGAGACACGGUCCAGACUCCUACGGAAGGCAGCAGUAAGGAAUAUUGCUCAAUGGGAGAAAUCCUGAAGCAGCAACGCCGCGUGAGGGACGAAGGGCUUUUGCUUGUAAACCUCUGUAGUGAGAGAAAAAAAUCCCAAUCUUUGGGACAUGAUGGUAUCUCAAAAGUAAGCCCCGGCUAACUACGUG